UACGUAGGGUGCGAGCGUUAAUCGGAAUUACUGGGCGUAAAGCGUGCGCAGGCGGUGAGCUGUGUCCGAUGUGAAAGCCCCGGGCUUAACCUGGGAAUGGCGAUGGAAACUGACGAGCUUGAGUGUGGCAGAGGGGGGUGGAAUUCCGCGUGUAGCAGUGAAAUGCGUAGAGAUGCGGAGGAACACCGAUGGCGAAGGCAGCCCCCUGGGCUAGCACUGACGCUCAGGCACGAAAGCGUGGGGAGCAAACAGG
This 253-nucleotide ribosomal RNA is filed under the name uncultured bacterium. Its description in RNAcentral is "partial 16S ribosomal RNA". It matches the Rfam family "Bacterial small subunit ribosomal RNA", at positions 524 to 776 of the family's 1533-position model. The record is from RNAcentral.